RNAcentral lists this non-coding RNA (339 nucleotides) under Balearica regulorum gibbericeps (East African grey crowned-crane). RNAcentral describes it as "Balearica pavonina gibbericeps Eukaryotic large subunit ribosomal RNA". It matches the Rfam family "Eukaryotic large subunit ribosomal RNA", at positions 2486 to 2812 of the family's 3401-position model. The record is from Rfam by way of RNAcentral. Lineage: Eukaryota; Metazoa; Chordata; Aves; Gruiformes; Gruidae.
UGAUUCAAAACACAUGUUUCUGAUCAUUUUUUCACUUACCCUGUGAGGCAAGGGGGCGAGCCCUGAGGGGGGGCUCUUGCUUCUGGCACCAAACGUCCGGCUCGUGCUGGGCAUGACCUGCUCUGGGGACAACAGCAGGUGGGGAGUUUGACUGGGGCAGUACACCUGUCAAAGCAUAACGCAGAUAUCCUAAGGCGAGCUCAGGGAGGACAGAAACCUCCCGUGGAGCAGAAGGGCAAAAGCUGUCUUGAUCUUGAUUUUCUGAACAAAUACAGACCGUGAAAGUGGGACCUCACGAUCCUUCUGGCUUUUUGGGUUUUAAGCAGGAGGUGUCAGAAA